CGUAGCCGAACUGAGAGGUUGAUCGGCCACAUUGGGACUGAGACACGGCCCAAACUCCUACGGGAGGCAGCAGUAGGGAAUCUUCCACAAUGGACGCAAGUCUGAUGGAGCAACGCCGCGUGAGUGAAGAAGGCUUUCGGGUCGUAAAACUCUGUUGUUGGAGAAGAAUGGUCGGCAGAGUAACUGUUGUCGGCGUGACGGUAUCCAACCAGAAAGCCACGGCUAACUACGUGCCAGCAGCCGCGGUAAUACGUA
This 255-nucleotide ribosomal RNA is filed under the name Lacticaseibacillus paracasei. RNAcentral's name for it is "partial 16S ribosomal RNA". It matches the Rfam family "Bacterial small subunit ribosomal RNA", at positions 282 to 529 of the family's 1533-position model. The record is from RNAcentral. Lineage: Bacteria; Bacillati; Bacillota; Bacilli; Lactobacillales; Lactobacillaceae.